GAGCCUUGUGGAUCUUUAGUCUUGCAGGAAAUUGUUGAAAGAUAAGUCUUAAGCGAAACCAAAUACAAUCGAUUAAUCGUGCUAUUUUGAAAUUCUGUUAGUCGCCUUAAACUUACUGCUAGUUUAAAGUUUAAACCUCUAAUAGCUGAAACUUAUUUUUUUUAGAGUGCAAUAAUCUUAUGCAUAGGGAAUAAAUUUUUCAUUGUGAAGAGUAUGGCUGUAUUUAAGAAUGGCCACUAUUUGUACAUGGCUUUCUGUAAUUUCCAAAUGGUGGAACCUAUCAUGAUUCAUAUUUAUCUACGAUCAUUGCAGAGGUCACCAUUCACCAACUUAUGGAUUUAUAUAAACUGUGAGCUCUAGAUGUUCACUUCCCACAUAGUUUUGUAUAUAUUUACAUGUCUGUCUUGAUUGCAUAUAAAUACAAAGAGAUGUGGUGUUCUCAUUGUUGAAUGAUAUCUGGAUAGUUUGGAAUGGAGACACGAGCUUGAUUGAGUUUUUAGCUCUCUAGAACAGUUUUUUGGUUCUUUUCCAUGGUAUGAUCUCUUUGUAAAAUUCCUUUUUGCCAAACCUAAUACAUAAAAUGGUUUUCUCAUGUAAUGAUUUUGAGAGGCAAAGGCUUAAAUUGUGCUUGCGUAAACAGAAAUUUUGAGUCGCCUAUUCUGUUUCCUCUUUUGUGGCUUGAAAAUGAACUCUAUGAACUAGUAUGUAUACUCGUCUUAGUUUAGUUUUUCAGUCCUUGCAGAGAUUUGGUUCUCAAGAACCAGAAAACUCUGUAAAGAAGAUUUCUUGCUUGCCUCAACCUAGUUGUACACAAGAAGAGAGUCAAAUGCAAAUCUCAAGAUCUUCAUCCAAUCUAAUGCGGAAAUGGAAUUCUGCUUCUGUUACAGAUCAUAGAAGUCAGAUUAGUGAAGAACUUGAACAUCGAAUUGGAUUGAUGGAAACUUCAUUAAACAGGUUUGGAAUGAUCCUGGAUUCUGUUCAGAGCGAUGGCAUGCAACUAAACAAAGGAAUGAAAGAAGUUUCACUGGAGAAACAAGGGACAAGAAGAUUUGAAAGCUAGCGUUGCUGGGGGAUUUAAGUUGAUAUCUGAUCGGCUUAGCAAAGAUAUAUAUCAAGAGUUCAAGACAAGUUACAGGAGAUUUUCAAGGUGGUCUCAACCUUACCACAGCAGGUGGAAGCGUCUAUUUUGAGAUUACAAGAUAAGCUCGGCAACACCCUCUCCAAAGAGUGCAAGCAAUGGCUUGCAGCCUGAAGACUCCUAACCAAAAAUAUAUAGCACCCUCUGUCCUCCUCCCAGAGGGUACUGACCAACGUGCUACUUCACAGUGAUAUGCAAAGCCUCCUAGGGAUCCUUGCAGAGAUUUGGUUCUCAAGAACCAGAAAACUCUGUAAAGAAGAUUUCUUGCUUGCCUCAACCUAGUUGUACACAAGAAGAGAGUCAAAUGCAAAUCUCAAGAUCUUCAUCCAAUCUAAUGCGGAAAUGGAAUUCUGCUUCUGUUACAGAUCAAAGAAGUCAGAUUAGUGAAGAACUUGAACAUCGAAUUGGAUUGAUGGAAACUUCAUUAAGCAGGUUUGGAAUGAUCCUGGAUUCUGUUCAGAGCGAUGGCAUGCAACUAAACAAAGGAAUGAAAGAAGUUUCACUGGAGAUGGACAGCAUACGGCGGAAACUGAUUGUUCGAGAUAACUUUCUGCAGUCAAUGGUAAAGCCUUCUGCUGUGAUGUUUGAGAUAUGGUUUCUUCUAACACGUUUUGAGAUAUGGUAAACCAGAACAAGGGACAUGAAGAUUUGAAAGCUAGCGUUGCUGGGGGGAUUUAAGUUGAUAUCUGAUCGGCUUAGCAAAGAUAUAUAUCAAGAGUUCAAGACAAGUUACAGGAGAUUUUCAAGGUGGCCUCAACCUUACCACAGCAGGUGGAAGCAUCUAUAUUGAGAUUACAAGAUAAGCUCGGCAACACCCUCUUCAAAGAAGUGCAAGUAUGUACGAUGUCGUAAUGGAAACUGCUGAUAUAUGUGUGAUUCAAGGCUUUAAGAUAAUUCAUUUUGUGGUCCUUGUUUGACUGUAGUAAAUGUUUUAUUGAAUUUUAUUUCUUUGCCUGACACAAACAAUGCUCAAAUCUUCCCUAAUCUCUUUCUUUUCAA
This is an RNA transcript of Quercus lobata, 2137 nucleotides long. It is a transcript of the gene named protein PAIR1-like, with no coding region annotated. NCBI's taxonomy places the organism in Eukaryota, Viridiplantae, Streptophyta, Magnoliopsida, Fagales, Fagaceae. The transcript is spliced from 8 exons. The record is from RefSeq and is a predicted model, not a curated record.